Molecule: ribosomal RNA, 442 nt
Filed under: Streptomyces sp.
Lineage: Bacteria; Bacillati; Actinomycetota; Actinomycetes; Kitasatosporales; Streptomycetaceae
Description: bacterial SSU rRNA
Source: RNAcentral
CGCGAAGAACCUUACCAAGGCUUGACAUACACCGGAAAGCAUCAGAGAUGGUGCCCCCCUUGUGGUCGGUGUACAGGUGGUGCAUGGCUGUCGUCAGCUCGUGUCGUGAGAUGUUGGGUUAAGUCCCGCAACGAGCGCAACCCUUGUCCCGUGUUGCCAGCAGGCCCUUGUGGUGCUGGGGACUCACGGGAGACCGCCGGGGUCAACUCGGAGGAAGGUGGGGACGACGUCAAGUCAUCAUGCCCCUUAUGUCUUGGGCUGCACACGUGCUACAAUGGCCGGUACAAUGAGCUGCGAUACCGCGAGGUGGAGCGAAUCUCAAAAAGYCGGUCUCAGUUCGGAUUGGGGUCUGCAACUCGACCCCAUGAASUCGGAGUCGSUAGUAAUCGCAGAUCAGCAUUGCUGCGGUGAAUACGUUCCCGGGUCUUGUACACACCGACCC